CUUGCUACCAGGCGUCGAGCGGCGGACGGGUGAGUAACGCGUAGGAAUCUGCCUAGUAGAGGGGGACAACAUGUGGAAACGCAUGCUAAUACCGCAUACGCCCUGAGGGGGAAAGGAGGGGAUCACUUGUGACCUUCCGCUAUUAGAUGAGCCUGCGUGAGAUUAGCUAGUUGGUGGGGUAAAGGCUCACCAAGCCGACGAUCUAUAGCUGGUCUGAGAGGACGACCAGCCACACUGGAACUGAGACACGGUCCAGACUCCUACGGGAGGCAGCAGUGGGGAAUUUUGGACAAUGGGCGAAAGCCUGAUCCAGCAAUACCGCGUGCAGGAAGAAGGCCUUCGGGUUGUAAACUGCUUUUGUACGGAACGAAAAGGCUCUUUCUAAUAAAGAGGGCUCAUGACGGUACCGUAAGAAUAAGCACCGGCUAACUACGUGCCAGCAGCCGCGGUAAUACGUAGGGUGCAAGCGUUAAUCGGAAUUACUGGGCGUAAAGCGUGCGCAGGCGGUUUUGUAAGA
This 517-nucleotide ribosomal RNA is filed under the name uncultured bacterium. RNAcentral describes it as "bacterial SSU rRNA". It matches the Rfam family "Bacterial small subunit ribosomal RNA", at positions 75 to 588 of the family's 1533-position model. The record is from RNAcentral.